This 1792-nucleotide long non-coding RNA is filed under the name Olea europaea (common olive). RNAcentral describes it as "long non-coding RNA (OEUR_LNC015003)". Lineage: Eukaryota; Viridiplantae; Streptophyta; Magnoliopsida; Lamiales; Oleaceae. The record is from RNAcentral.
CUAGGACGAGACGGGGCAGGGGCGGCUCCCCGUUGCCAUCCCUGCAUUAACAUCCAUAAAUAAAAUGCUCAUGCACCGCCUUUGUUGAACCGCCCCCACCAAUUUCAAUGCUUUUGGCGUUGCAAACAAGCAAAAAGCAUCAUCAUUUACACCGCCACGAUAUCAAGAUUCCAUGUGACAAAAGCAAAAGUUAGAAAUCAUCAAAAUCACGCAACCAUUUAAAAAUUUAUGUCCAUAUCAACUCAUAAUAUUUUAGUAUUUACAAAGUGAAUUGACUACACAUGAUGACUCAACGCCAACAAGGCAGAUUUUUAUACAGAUUUUCCUCACUUGACUAUCAAAAUUGACCCCAAAAUAAACACAAAUACUAAAGACCCCUUUCAUCCCUUUCGUUACAGCAAUAGGGUGCCCCCAAUGACUUGGUUGAAUUAUUUUUGGUCAAUGAAAACAUACUCAGAUUAAUUACAGACUCCUUGCCUUACAGACACUUUUUGACAUGUAUUUACACUAUACAAAAUGAUCAAUGAUCUCUAUUACUUGCUCACUGGAUCAAACUGUUCAAAAUUCCUCUCCUGCUAAAAUCUUCAAUUUUUGUAUGUACUAGUUUUUUUGAUUGCUCUAAGCCAGAGCAGGGAUGCUGCAGUUGCGUCUGUCCCUGUCAAGGCAUUCGAAGCCCUCGACCCUCACAGCUGGAUUGUUGCCAAAAUUUGUCCGCACGCAUCCACCUUUACGGGUGGAGGAUGGGGACGGAGCCAGCUCAGAUGGGAAACUUGAUCCAUUUAAUCAGUGAUAGCAAAAAAAAGCCCGCCACAUCUCAAAUGGGGCAAAAAAACUCGUCCCGAAUGGGUUGGCUGGGCGAGAUUCCUUGCUCGGGGCGGGAUGAGACAAGGAUGUCCCACCCCGUGAAGGAAAAAAAUAAAAAUAAAUUAAAAAUAAUUUUAUUUUUAGACAAUUCAUUCGUUAAAAAUCAAUUUUGAAUUUGUAUUUUAUUUUCUAAUAAUAACAUAACUCAAAACUUUAAAAAUAUAAAAAAAAUUAUAAUUAAAAUUAAACAGAAUAACAAACGAAACAAAAAAUUGUCCAUCCCUGCCCUAGGACGAGACGGGGCAGGGGCGGCUCCCCGUUGCCAUCCCUGCAUUAACAUCCAUAAAUAAAAUGCUCAUGCACCGCCUUUGUUGAACCGCCCCCACCAAUUUCAAUGCUUUUGGCGUUGCAAACAAGCAAAAAGCAUCAUCAUUUACACCGCCACGAUAUCAAGAUUCCAUGUGACAAAAGCAAAAGUUAGAAAUCAUCAAAAUCACGCAACCAUUUAAAAAUUUAUGUCCAUAUCAACUCAUAAUAUUUUAGUAUUUACAAAGUGAAUUGACUACACAUGAUGACUCAACGCCAACAAGGCAGAUUUUUAUACAGAUUUUCCUCACUUGACUAUCAAAAUUGACCCCAAAAUAAACACAAAUACUAAAGACCCCUUUCGUCCCUUUCGUUACACCAAUAGGGUGCCCCCAAUGACUUGGUUGAAUUAUUUUUGGUCAAUCAAAACAAACUCAGAUUAAUUACAGACUCCUUGCCUUACAGACACUUUUUGACGUGUAUUUACACUAUACAAAAUGAUCAAUGAUCUCUAUUACUUGCUCACUGGAUCAAACUGUUCAAAAUUCCUCUCCUGCUAAAAUCUUCAAUUUUUGUAUGUACUAGUUUUUUUGAUUGCUCUAAGCCAGAGCAGGGAUGCUGCAGUUGCGUCUGUCCCUGUCAAGGCAUUCGAAGCCCUCGACCCUCACAGCUGGAUUGUUGC